This 459-nucleotide ribosomal RNA is filed under the name uncultured bacterium. RNAcentral's name for it is "partial 16S ribosomal RNA". It matches the Rfam family "Bacterial small subunit ribosomal RNA", at positions 338 to 795 of the family's 1533-position model. The record is from RNAcentral.
CCUACGGGAGGCAGCAGUGAGGAAUAUUGGUCAAUGGGCGGGAGCCUGAACCAGCCAAGCCGCGUGAGGGAAGAAGGUACAGCGUAUCGUAAACCUCUUUUGUCAGGGAACAAAGGCGGGGACUAGUCCCCGGAUGAGGGUACCUGAAGAAAAAGCAUCGGCUAACUCCGUGCCAGCAGCCGCGGUAAUACGGAGGAUGCGAGCGUUAUCCGGAUUUAUUGGGUUUAAAGGGUGCGCAGGCGGCCUGUUAAGUCAGCGGUAAAAGCCCGGGGCUCAACCCCGGCGAGCCGUUGAAACUGGCGGGCUGGAGUUGGAGAGAAGUACGCGGAAUGCGCGGUGUAGCGGUGAAAUGCUUAGAUAUCGCGCAGAACCCCGAUUGCGAAGGCAGCAUACCGGCUCCACACUGACGCUGAGGCAUGAAAGCGUGGGUAUCGAACAGGAUUAGAUACCCGGGUAGUC